GACGAACGCUGGCGGCGUGCUUAACACAUGCAAGUCGAACGGAAAGGCCCUGCUUUUGUGCGCUGCCCGAUGGCCGAACGGGUGAGUAACACGUGAAUAACCUGCCCUUGUUUUUCGGGUAACUUCAGGAAACUGGGCUUAAUCCCGUAUAGGAUCCCCCCCUGCAUGGAGGGGGUUGGAAAGUCUCGGCGGUUGGGGAUGGAUUCGCCGGUUAUCAGCUUGUUGGUGGGGUAGUGGUUUACCAACGCUUUGACUGGUAGCCGGCCUGGGUGGGUGACCGGCCACAUUGGGACUGAGGUAGGGCGCAGAGUCCUACGGGGGGCAGCGGUGGCGAAUAUUGCACAAUGGGAGGAAGCCGGAUGCAGCGGCGCCGCGGGCGGGAUGACGGCCUUCGGGUUGUGAACCGCUUUCGCCUGUGACGAAGCGGGAGUGACGGUAAUGGGUAAAGAAGCACCGGCUAACUACGUG
This 468-nucleotide ribosomal RNA is filed under the name uncultured bacterium. RNAcentral's name for it is "partial 16S ribosomal RNA". It matches the Rfam family "Bacterial small subunit ribosomal RNA", at positions 28 to 507 of the family's 1533-position model. The record is from RNAcentral.